GUCGAGCUUAAGAAAAUUUUUAUAAGAAUUUAAAAUAGUUAAAAAUACUAAAAACUAAAAUAAAAAUAUCUUUGGUUGGGGCAACCACGAAGAAAAAAAAACCUUCGUUCUAAAAAAGAAAUUUACAAAUAAAAUAUUUUUUAAAAACUAUAAGAUCCAGUACAUUCUGAUCAAAGAAAAAAGUUACCGCAGGGAUAACAGCGUUAUUCUCUUUAAGAGUCCAUAUUGACAAGAGAGUUUGCGACCUCGAUGUUGGACCGGGACACCCAAGAGGUGCAACAGCCUCUAAAGGUAGGUCUGUUCGACCUAUAAAGUCCUACGUGAU
This 325-nucleotide ribosomal RNA is filed under the name Nesometra sesokonis. Its description in RNAcentral is "partial large subunit ribosomal RNA". It matches the Rfam family "Bacterial large subunit ribosomal RNA", at positions 2093 to 2604 of the family's 2925-position model. Lineage: Eukaryota; Metazoa; Echinodermata; Crinoidea; Comatulida; Antedonidae. The record is from RNAcentral.